CCUACGGGUGGCAGCAGUGAGGAAUAUUGGUCAAUGGGCGCGAGCCUGAACCAGCCAAGUCGCGUGAGGGAAGACGGUCCUCUGGAUUGUAAACCUCUUUUGUCGGGGAGCAAAAGACGCCACGCGUGGCGUUCCGAGAGUACCCGAAGAAAAAGCAUCGGCUAACUCCGUGCCAGCAGCCGCGGUAAUACGGAGGAUGCGAGCGUUAUCCGGAUUUAUUGGGUUUAAAGGGUGCGCAGGCGGAAGAUCAAGUCAGCGGUAAAAUUGGGAGGCUCAACCUCGUCGAGCCGUUGAAACUGGUUGUCGUGAGUGAGUGAGAGGGAUGCGGAAUGCGAGGUGUAGAGGUGAAAUGCAUAGAUAUCACGAGGAAAACCGAAUGAGAAGGGAGCAUACAGGCGCUCAACUGACGCUCAUGCAAGAGAGUGUGGGUAGCGAACAGGAUUAGAUAAC
This 450-nucleotide ribosomal RNA is filed under the name uncultured bacterium. Its description in RNAcentral is "partial 16S ribosomal RNA". It matches the Rfam family "Bacterial small subunit ribosomal RNA", at positions 338 to 786 of the family's 1533-position model. The record is from RNAcentral.